Molecule: ribosomal RNA, 468 nt
Filed under: uncultured bacterium
Lineage: Bacteria
Description: partial 16S ribosomal RNA
Rfam family: Bacterial small subunit ribosomal RNA
Source: RNAcentral
GACGAACGCUGGCGGCGUGCUUAACACAUGCAAGUCGAACGGAAAGGCCCUGCUUUUGUGGGGUGCUCGAGUGGCGAACGGGUGAGUAACACGUGAGUAACCUGCCCUUGACUUUGGGAUAACUUCAGGAAACUGGGGCUAAUACCGGAUAGGAGCUCCUGUUGCAUGGUGGGGGUUGGAAAGUUUCGGCGGUUGGGGAUGGACUCGCGGCUUAUCAGCUUGUUGGUGGGGUAGUGGCUUACCAAGGCUUUGACGGGUAGCCGGCCUGAGAGGGUGACCGGCCACAUUGGGACUGAGACACGGCCCAGACUCCUACGGGAGGCAGCAGUGGGGAAUAUUGCACAAUGGGCGGAAGCCUGAUGCAGCAACGCCGCGUGCGGGAUGACGGCCUUCGGGUUGUAAACCGCUUUCGCCUGUGACGAAGCGUGAGUGACGGUAAUGGGUAAAGAAGCACCGGCUAACUACGUG